This 277-nucleotide ribosomal RNA is filed under the name uncultured bacterium. RNAcentral describes it as "partial 16S ribosomal RNA". It matches the Rfam family "Bacterial small subunit ribosomal RNA", at positions 28 to 296 of the family's 1533-position model. The record is from RNAcentral.
GACGAACGCUGGCGGCGUGCCUAACACAUGCAAGUCGAGCGGGAACCCGGGGUGGGGUAACCCACCUCGGGGGAGAGCGGCGAACGGGUGAGUAACACGUGGGCAACCUGCCCCAGACACUGGGAUAACCCCGGGAAACCGGGGCUAAUACCAGAUACUCCGGACGGGUCGCAUGAUCCGGCCGGGAAAGCUCCGGCGGUCUGGGAUGGGCCCGCGGCCUAUCAGCUUGUUGGUGGGGUAACGGCCCACCAAGGCGACGACGGGUAGCUGGUCUGAG